This 253-nucleotide ribosomal RNA is filed under the name uncultured bacterium. RNAcentral's name for it is "partial 16S ribosomal RNA". It matches the Rfam family "Bacterial small subunit ribosomal RNA", at positions 524 to 776 of the family's 1533-position model. The record is from RNAcentral.
UACGUAGGGGGCAAGCGUUGUCCGGAAUCAUUGGGCGUAAAGCGCGUGUAGGCGGUUCGGUAAGUCCGCUGUGAAAGUCGGGGGCUCAACCCUCGGAUGCCGGUGGAUACUGUCGAGCUUGAGUACGGAAGAGGCGAGUGGAAUUCCUGGUGUAGCGGUGAAAUGCGCAGAUAUCAGGAGGAACACCAAUGGCGAAGGCAGCACUCUGGGACGUGACUGACGCUGAGACGCGAAAGCGUGGGGAGCAAACAGG